Parus major (Great Tit) is the source of this 1751-nucleotide long non-coding RNA. Lineage: Eukaryota; Metazoa; Chordata; Aves; Passeriformes; Paridae. The record is from Ensembl.
CUUUCCCCUCUUAGAUUUUUGUCAAUCCUUUCAUAACACAAAAACAGGAUAAAUUUGUUUGAGGGUUUUUGUUGUUUUUUUUUUUUAAUUUUAUUUUGUCUAAACAGUGGAUAUAUACCAACAAAAGAAGAUUGCAUGGUAUUUACUUAACCUCAACAUCUUUAUCAUCUUUUUCUUCCUUCACCACUAUGAAAAAACUCAGUCAUUCCUUUUGCAGAGUAUGCAUCUGUUGGUAGGCACUUGGUGAAGAAGAUUACAUUUUAAGUCUUUACAUUUCAUGAGUGCAAUACUGCAUGCUUAAAAACCAUAUCUUUGAUAUUUAAUGGUGUCAUUUAACACCUGAAUGGGCCACAGCCAGGAAUAAAAUUUACUUCUGUUUGACUAACAGGUUUGAUUUUGCCAGGAGUGUGACCAGAUAAAUAGAAGGUGAUUAAAAUUAAUGAAGCUGUGAAAACCUUGAAAGCCUCAGCUAAACAGAGAAUUUUUAAGCCUGGUUUCACACUAAAAUGAAACAAUCAACUCCCUAGAAUGAAAUGCUGUCAGCUUUCAAGCUGGAGUUUCAUCUUGAGUUUAAAAGCUGGAGAUGAUGAAAUGGGAUUGUCUGACCUCCUGGAAGUCUCACUACUGGCUGUCCAUUAACAUACACCUUUUGCAGCAGGCUACUUUCUCAGACAUUCAUAUUAUCGGGGCAGAGAAGGUCGUUUCCUUCUGCACUCAGAUUCCAAAUGAGAGCCAGGUUUGGAGCCUUUUGGAUUCCUCCUGGGGGAAUCUGCUCCUACAGCAAAUACAGAAAACUUUCAAGAAAAACUGGAGCCUGCAGUUCUUCACUGCGAGACAGAUCAGUCUUGAUAAGCUGAGGAAUAAGAAGGAUGAUUAUCCCUUCUUCUAUUCACAUGCAACAUUAAAUACUCUCAGUUUAAACAUGCCUGAAUGUUUUCUUACCAAGAAGUGAGUCAUCUUCACUGUUUUCUACUAACCAUUAACCAAUGCAUGAUCUGGAAGAUCACACUGCUAGUGGCUGUGGCUGAACAAGGCAGCUAACCCAUUUUGGUCUCAAGGAUGUGUUUGGGUCCGCUCCUGAAAAGCAGCUCAUGGUCACUGGAAUAUGCAAUAUAUAUGUAUAGUAAUGGACAGGUCAAUAUCACUAUAGAAAGGUGGCACAGCAGAGGGGCUCAGUUCCUCUGAAGAAACGGUUGCUGAGUAAAUGGCAUGAGCUGGUGUUCUCCAAGUGGGGACAUCCUACUCUUAAACUCCAAUAUUUAUUCAGCUUGGUUCAGCUUCAGAGUGUGGAUUUUGCAUUAGAACACUUGCUAAGCAGAUCUUUUCAAAGUCUACCAUAUUACAUUUGCAGAUGGCAUCAGCUGAGUGGUGCUGUUGUCACUCCUGAGGACAAGAUGCCAUCCAGAGGGACCUGGACAAGCUCAGGGAGUGAACCCAUGGGAACCUCAUGAGCCAAGUACUCAAGGUGAAGCACAAGGUGCUGCACCUGGGUUUGGAACAGCCCCCAGUGUCAGUCCAGGCUGGGAAUGAAGGUUUUGAGAGCACCCCAAAAAGGACUUGGUGGUGGUGGUGGAUGAGAGGCUGGACAUGACCCAGCCAUGAGCAUUCACAGCCCAGAGAGCCAAAACUGUCCUGGGCUGCAUCCAAAGCAGUGUGGGCAGCAGGGGAGGGAGGGGAUUGUGCCCCUCUGCUCUGCUCUGGUGAGACCCACCAGAGAAAGAAAAUAAAUUUCUUGUGAAGGUGGUGAGGCA